GCUUGGCAGGCGUGGUGCCGGCGGGUGGUGGUGGUUACCGUGGUUCCACCCGCGGCUUCCAUGGCAGUGAAGAACGAAGAAGAUGGUUCUGAGUAGUUGUCUGAGAGCGCUAGACGUGGAUCGCUAGAUAGAUUAGUUGUCCUGUGUAGACGUUAUGUUUUGUUGGCCUGUGAGCCUAGUUAGCGGCCUGUGUGCCUUGACACUUUAUGAUUUGUUUGAAUUGAUUAGUUUCCCCGCCCGUGCACCUAUGUUUGAGAUAGGUGUGGCAUAACUUGUCCCGAUUUUAUAUAACUUCCGUUUCCUUUA
Long non-coding RNA from Ipomoea nil (Japanese morning glory), 306 nucleotides. RefSeq lists it as uncharacterized. Lineage: Eukaryota; Viridiplantae; Streptophyta; Magnoliopsida; Solanales; Convolvulaceae. The record is from RefSeq and is a predicted model, not a curated record. The transcript is spliced from 2 exons.